CUCAUUGUCAGUCCCGGGAGUCGGAGGAGCCGCCGGCCGCUGGGACCUGGGCGCCCAAGCACUAGGCUGGCGGGAGCGCGGGUCGGAGCCUCUGAGGCUAGCCUUGAACUCACUGUGGAGCCCAGGCUGGCCUUGAACAUGGCAGUCCUCCUGUCUCUGCAUCCUGACUGCUGGGAUUACAGUCUUGGAGACAAUACCAGAAGAGGGGCCCAAUUCCAAGUACAGCUCCUAAGAGGACUCCUACAACUCUGCAGUCAGGGUAUCAGCCAGCACUGUAGUCAUCUGAAAAUAUAACUAGAGAAGGACAGGACCUGCUUCCAAAUUUAUUCAGUCAAGGGGCAACUGGCAUUGAGAGAGAGUGACUGUUCCCAAGACAGCAAACAUUGGAGGAACAGCCAGAAGUAUUGACAGAAAGCUUAAAUUACCUAAAUGGUAAGUAUGUUGUACAGUGAAGUCUGGGCAUACUAAUAGCAUUGGAUGGGUUUUGAAGCUUCUACAAAUUUCCAGCACCGCAAAGGAAGGGAGGAGAAUCAGUGUUUGUUGAUGGCCUGUUGUGAACUGAACAUAGGGUAAGUAUCCUUUUUCUCUUUAACUUUUUUCUCCCUUAAGCUCCUGACUUGAUGAAGGUAAAAAUCCUUGCAUGGAUUCAAUGACCUUAAGAAGCAGGCCCAAACUACCAU
This 680-nucleotide long non-coding RNA is filed under the name Heterocephalus glaber (naked mole-rat). RNAcentral's name for it is "lncRNA (ENSHGLG00100045702.1)". Lineage: Eukaryota; Metazoa; Chordata; Mammalia; Rodentia; Bathyergidae. The record is from RNAcentral.